AUCCACCAUGAAAUCAAGUUUUCUUCACUUUCCUUUCCAUGUUUUUCUUUUCCUUUCUUCUCCAAACUUCUUGAGCACUAAAUUGACAGCCUUUAACCCCAAUUUCCAGCAUAUCUAAACCCUAAGAGGAGAAGAAAGAAAAAGAGAGAAAGGAAGAAAAAGCUUGGUUUUGGUGAUUCAGGCAAGAAACGGUAAGAAUUCUUGUUUUUGGCUUAAGUAGUCUUUGAAAAUGAGUUAGUGACUUAGAGAAAUGUCUUGUGGCAGCAAAGAUUGACUUGAUUGGAGAAAAAUUGAUAACAUGUAAGCCAAUAAACCCAUGGGCACAUGAAGGACUCAAAGUGGAAAAGGAAAAUGGUGAGCUUAACACUAUGUUUUCAAGCCUACGGUUAGUUGAAUAUUGUGAGGAAUUAUGGUUGUUGAAAGGAUUUAUUUGCCUAAGCUAGUUUAAAAUUAUUAAGAUUGUAUGGCAUGUUGUUUGAAAGAAAUGAAAAAGGAAUAUUGUGGAUGGAGGAUUAAGAAACGAAGUAUUGAAAGUUAGAUAGAUAACAAUACGUGUAAACUAAGAAAUAAUCGAGUGAAAGUGAGAAUGAUUGUUGUUGCCAUAUAUGUGGAUUAUGUCUAGAAAUAUAAGAUUGAUUUGGGUGGAAAUUAUUUAGAAAGGUUGAAGUAGACACGUGACAUCAUAAUUAAGUUGUCGGUGAUAUAAUUUAAGGAAUUACGUAAGCAAUGGAUAUAAGUAAUUUUAGUAAAAAUGUAUUAACAUGUGAGUUAAUUGAAGAUGGUUUCAUGAUAGGAUGAAAAAUAUAAAUUUGAGUAAGGAUUAAUUGAUUGAAGUGCUGCCCGUAUACGUAUAUAAUUAAAUAUAUUGAGUUUGUAUUAUUGUUAGGAAGUGCAAAAAUAAGGUUAGGGUACUGUGGUGGCAUGCUAGAGUAAACAUCGAGCGACCGGCCAGUGAAAAUAAUUAGACACCUCCGAUCAAAUAGCAAUGUAAUAUCCCAUUAUCGUAAGGUGAGUGAACUUGCAUAAAAUGUUUUAGGAGUAAGGCACAUGUGGUUGAUUGAGACAUUUUAAUUGUUUUUCUAUAAAAAUGCAUGGGAACAAGCCUUUAGUGAAAUGUUUUUGUGAUGUGGAACAUGAUUGUGAUGAAUCUAUGUACCUCUAUAUGAUAUUGAUAUGUAUAUAUAUAAAAAAUAGUAAUAUAUGAUAUGUAUUGUUAACAAAUUUUGUGUAAUUGAUGUAACCAUGCAUGUGCGGAGUGGGUAGUGCACAUGCCGGUUGAAUGACAAUGUUGUGAUAAUUGUAACUGUGCAUGUGAGGAAUGGGCAAUGCACAUGUCGGUUGAAUGACAAUGUCAUGAUAAUUACAACCGUGCAUGUGCAAAGUGGGUAGUGCACAUGCCAGUAAUGAUGCACACGAGUUGGGUGAGAUGGGGUGUUCGGCUAUGUGCACGAUGUACGGGGAUGCACAUGAGCUGGGUGAGGUGAUGGUGGUGUAUUUGCUUAUAUAUAUAUUUACUAUAUAAAGGUGUUUGGAUUUAAUAUGUGAUUGCAUUGACUGUUGAAAACUUGAGUAUUGUCAAUUUGUUCAAUUUAAUGUGCAAUGUGGCAUGAAUGGAAUUUUCUUGAUGGCAGUGAAAGCCCCUUGAUUUUAUCUUGUCAGGCCCUGCUCUAUAAUAUACUUGCCAUGUCAUUCAUGUACUUGAUAGCAUGUCUGUAUACUUAGAUGCCUCGAAAAAUCGUUAAAAGUCGGUAUUGUACUUAGUGGUACAAUUAAGUCGAUUAAAGUCUUGAACUAGUCCAAAUAGAGAUUGUGGGAUGUAUUUGAGAGUUAUUGAACCUUAGAAUGUCUUAAAAUGGUGAUUUGGAGUUCGAGGAUUAAUUUGAAAUCCAUUUGGGAAUUUUCAUAACGUAAGGGCAAAAUAGUCAUUUUACCACCCAAGGGCAAAAAUUGGAAUGUUGGACAAGAUUUUUGACCAAGUUUGACUAGUUGGAACAUAAUUUGAAUUUGAGGAGUGAAAAUUUUCAAUUCCGAGCAUAAGGGCAAAACGAUCAUUUCAAAUGUCCACGAGGACGUAAUUAUAAUUUUUGAAAUUUUACACCACCAUGACACUUGUUAAGCCCAUGAAUUUCACCUAUUAUCAUUUUAUACUUUGGAUAAUUAUGGGAUUAUAUGUGGUGGAAAGGAAAAACCUUAUUAGUUAAGUUUUAAAUGUGAACCAAUUAUAUGUUGCCAUGUGUCAAGUUUUUAUUAUUUUAUAAUUUCCUUUAUAAACUCAACAUAAACUCUCCCAUUCACUCUCUCAUUGUUGUUCAAGCCAAAGAACAAAGGGGGAAAGAAUAAAAAAACCCCAUGGAGGAAAAGUUCAAGAGAAAUUCAUUGGAUUUUCGAAAAACGAAGCGGUCGGGG
RNAcentral lists this long non-coding RNA (2406 nucleotides) under Theobroma cacao (cacao). RNAcentral's name for it is "long non-coding RNA (TCAC_LNC001107)". The record is from RNAcentral. Lineage: Eukaryota; Viridiplantae; Streptophyta; Magnoliopsida; Malvales; Malvaceae.